Molecule: transfer RNA, 88 nt
Filed under: Candidatus Thorarchaeota archaeon SMTZ-45
Lineage: Archaea; Promethearchaeati; Candidatus Thorarchaeota
Also listed under: 5 other names
Description: tRNA-Leu
Rfam family: tRNA
About the family: Transfer RNA (tRNA) molecules are approximately 80 nucleotides in length. Their secondary structure includes four short double-helical elements and three loops (D, anti-codon, and T loops). Further hydrogen bonds mediate the characteristic L-shaped molecular structure. tRNAs have two regions of fundamental functional importance: the anti-codon, which is responsible for specific mRNA codon recognition, and the 3' end, to which the tRNAs corresponding amino acid is attached (by aminoacyl-tRNA synthetases). tRNAs cope with the degeneracy of the genetic code in two manners: having more than one tRNA (with a specific anti-codon) for a particular amino acid; and 'wobble' base-pairing, i.e. permitting non-standard base-pairing at the 3rd anti-codon position.
Source: RNAcentral
GCGGAGGUUGCCAAGCCAGGUCAAAGGCGCCAGGUUGAGGGCCUGGUUCAGUAGUGAUUCGCGAGUUCAAAUCUCGCCCUCCGCACCA